UACGGCGAGCAGUGGGAAGUAGUUAGCACGAAUAGGCGGCAAAGCCCUGAUCGCACGCCAUCGCCGCGUGUAUGAAGAAGGCCUUCGGGUUGUAAAGUACUUCUAGUCGUGAGAAGUGUAGUAGUACCUAGCAAUAGACGUUGCGACAGAGAGCACGGCUAACUCCGUGACCAGCAGGCCGCGGUAAUUACGGAGGGUAGUCGUAGGCGUUAAAUCGGAAUUACUGGGCGUAAAGGGCUAACGACUAAAGGCGGUUAAAUUAACGUUAGGAUUAGUUGAAAUCCCCGGACUUUUAAAACCUGGGAAUGGCAUUCAAGACUAGGUUAGCUAGAGUCUUGUAGAGGGGUAGAAUCAAUGUAGUAGCGGUGGAAAAUGCGUAGAGAAGUGUGGAGGAAUACCGGUGACGAAG
Molecule: ribosomal RNA, 409 nt
Filed under: uncultured bacterium
Lineage: Bacteria
Description: bacterial SSU rRNA
Rfam family: Bacterial small subunit ribosomal RNA
Source: RNAcentral